GCAGGCUAACGCCUUGAUACAUUAGCAUGGAAUAAUGAAAUAGGACGUUCGAUCUUAUUUUAGUUGGUUUCUAGGGAUUGACGUAAUGAUUAAUAGGGAUAUUGGGGGCAUUAGUAUUCAAUUGUCAGAGGUGAAAUUCUUGGAUUUAUUGAAGACUAACUACUGCGAAAGCAUUUGCCGAGGAUGUUUUCAUUAAUCAAGAACGAAAGUUAGGGGAUCGAAGACGAUCAGAUACCGUCGUAGUCUUAACCAUAAACUAUGCCGACUAGGGAUCGGAUGAUGUUAAUUUUUUAAUGACUCAUUCGGCGCCUUACG
RNAcentral lists this ribosomal RNA (315 nucleotides) under uncultured Glomus. RNAcentral describes it as "SSU rRNA". It matches the Rfam family "Eukaryotic small subunit ribosomal RNA", at positions 780 to 1092 of the family's 1831-position model. The record is from RNAcentral. Lineage: Eukaryota; Fungi; Glomeromycota; Glomeromycetes; Glomerales; Glomeraceae.